GUGCCAGCCGCCGCGGUAAGACGGAGGGUGCUAGCGUUGUUCGGAAUUACUGGGCGUAAAGGGCGCGUAGGCGGCCUGGUCAGUCGGAUGUGAAAGCCCGGGGCUCAACCCCGGAACGGCAUCCGAGACGGCCAGGCUGGAGACCGGGAGAGGAGAGUGGAAUAGCCAGUGUAGAGGUGAAAUUCGUAGAUAUUGGCUGGAACACCGGUGGCGAAAGCGGCUCUCUGGCCCGGUUCUGACGCUGAGGCGCGAAAGCGUGGGGAGCAAACAGGAUUAGAUACCCGAGUAGUCC
RNAcentral lists this ribosomal RNA (292 nucleotides) under uncultured bacterium. RNAcentral describes it as "partial 16S ribosomal RNA". It matches the Rfam family "Bacterial small subunit ribosomal RNA", at positions 505 to 796 of the family's 1533-position model. The record is from RNAcentral.